Molecule: long non-coding RNA, 827 nt
Organism: Tachysurus fulvidraco (yellow catfish)
Lineage: Eukaryota; Metazoa; Chordata; Actinopteri; Siluriformes; Bagridae
Exons: 3
Source: RefSeq, a predicted model, not a curated record
AAAAAAAACACAGAGGGGUGUGGAGAAAGAGUGAGUUCACAUAAGCGAAUGGGUUAAAAAUCUGACAGACAAUAUAAAUAGGUCACAUGAUUUGAGAUGUUCAAAAAUGCAGGGUGUGUCCAGGUGAGAUGAAAAGUACUGCUCUGGUGAGCCACAGAUGCCGUCUUAUAGAGCUGCAGUCAGCAUCAGUAAUAGCCUUAAUUUGGGUCGAGGAUCGGCCUGUGUCUUCACGGACAGCCCAUCGGGUCCUCCGGCCCAGUCCAGGUUUGUGUAUAUAUAAAUAGGAGCAGUGGAGGCUCAUGUGGUUAAGGCUCUGGGUUGUUGAUUGGAACCCUCUCUGCUCCAGGGUUGCUGUAUCAUGGCUGACUCUGCGCUCAGACCCCAACCUCCAAAAGUCGGGAUAUGCAAAGAAAGGAUUUCACAGUGCUGCAAUGUAUACGUGACAAAAUAAAGAUUUCGAACAUGAGAUUGUAGAUUCUGGGUUCUGAAGUCGUUUCAACUGAAAUUAUUAGCUCCUUUGAGAUUUCAGGCCACGUUAAAAACAUUAUCAAAUAAAAAUAAAUAAAUGCUAGUUUUAACUAAUUUUUUUUUUCAAACCCAGAAAGCUGACAAUGUAUCUGUGCACGCUGUAUCUUUUAGAAAUGAAGAAAGCAAAAUUGUGUUCGUUAUAACUGCUAGGUAAACAAGGUCACAGCAAGGUGUUUUAUUUUGAUUGAUUUUGCUGUUGAUGCGAUGAGCUCAUAAAUCCUCUCUGACCACAGAAAAGCCCCGUGGCAAACCCCGCCCAGAGUUUCUAUCACACCCUCGCUGCUACUCUGGCAGUCAUA